AACUCGAGUUAUAAUUUUAAAUCAAAAUUCGAUUUGGAUUACAAUUGAGGGAAUAGGGUUGAGAUUCGAGAGAAUCAAGACUUUUUUUUUUUGGGUUAGAUUCAGAUAUUUUUAAAUGUAACCCAAUCGAAUAUGAUGCUCGGUUCAGUUUUAGCUUGAAUUGAAUCCAAAUUAGAUCGAUUUCAAUUCUCAACCAGAUUUAUUUUUAGGCUCGAACUGAAAUGAAAUUCAAUUUUAUUCAAUUCAACUCGAGCCAAGCACCCACUCCUAGUUAAAAUAUAAGAACCAUCUAAUUAUGACGUACUAAUUAGGUGAUCCGAUUGUCUUAAACUCAAUUUUAAAUUACAUUGUAAUAAAGUUGAUGAGGUAUUACACAAUCUUUCGAGGGUGGCUGCUUGUAAGUAAAUCUCUUGACUGUUUUUGCACCCAUGUCUCCUUUAUCAUUGUUAGAAUCCUUAAUUAGAGAUUCAGAUUGUUUCUCUCCUGAUGAAACUUCAAACAUGAUAAAUCAUAUUUCUUAAAAUCUUACAUUUUAUAAAAGUGAGUAAAAAUAUUAGUAUUUUAUCACACAACAAAACAUCAAAGCCCACGAGUUGAUUCAUGAAUUGAUGAUGUUGCAUAAUGUAAAAGCCUCACUUGGUUACAUUUUCCAAUUUCAAGAAAGUUAUUAUUGAUAUUCCCAUAUGCUUUGCCUUGGUUUCUAAGAUGCUAUCAAUUGUUUUGUUGAAUGUUGAAUCUCUCAAUACUCAUUUAAGGCUUUAGAGGAUGGACAAAAUCAUACCAAAAUGUAUGUGACUCCCUUUUCUUAUUGCGGUGAGAGGUAACAAACAUGGAAAAAGAAUCCUAGUUACUUUAUGGUAAUUGGUAAAAUGUACUACAGCUGGGAUGUAUUGGCACGCUAGAUCAAGCCAAAACCUAUGUUGUUCAUGGUACUUGCUCUGACAAAGUUGUGGCUUGUGUGUUUUUAUCUCCCUUUUUUUAAAAUUUUAAUUAAAUAAGGGUUUAUAAUUCAAUGUUUAUAAGUUUUGAAAAUAAGUAAAUUUGUUAGCCUUGAUAACAACUAAAAUGGAAGUAUUUAAAAUGAUUUCCUGCUAUAUUUUGUUUUUGAAGUUUUUCUAAGCUUCAGUCUCAGCUCCUUUCUCCUCUUCUUUACCCUCCCCUCAUUCUUCCUCUAUUUACCUUUUAUAAGCAACAGACUUGACAAGAUCCUUUUAUUUUAUUAUUAUUAUAUAUAUAUAUAUAUAUUUUUUUUUUUAUUUAUACAUAAAAGUGAGUGAUAGUCAGGUGGCGAAGUGCCUGUGGCCACCUAACAAUCAUGGCUCGCUUCCUCUUUUUUAUUUUUUUUAAUUACAUCUUUUUAAUAAUACAUUCUAAACGAAUUAAUCAAUUUAUCUUCUCGUUUCCUAUUUUUAGUUUCAAUUUCUUUUUUAUUCAUGAGAUAUAAAAAUUAACAUAAAAUUAAUAUACUGUAAAUUA
Molecule: long non-coding RNA, 1476 nt
Filed under: Citrus x clementina
Lineage: Eukaryota; Viridiplantae; Streptophyta; Magnoliopsida; Sapindales; Rutaceae
Description: Citrus clementina (C. clementina) long non-coding RNA (CCLE_LNC002830)
Source: RNAcentral